AUGCAAGGCAUGGCGCUAGCAGUCCAACACUGUGAGCUCCCAGUCAUAGUCCAGUCGGACUCUUCUGUCGCCCUAUCUGCCCUCUCGGGCGACAGCUUAUCUAGAUCUGCCUACGGGCACUUAGUUGCUGAGAUUCGUCACCUAAUGAUAGAUAGAGUUUUCAUUCCGUUCAAGAUUAGUCGUGUGCAGAAUAGGGUAGCAGAUCGUUUGGCCCUGUAUAGUCGUACAGAGCGUACCACUGCUGUAUGGCUUGGCCGAGGUCCGCCGUGUAUCGAGGAUCUCUUGCCUCGCGAUUGUAACCCUAUACCUUUGGAAUAA
RNAcentral lists this ribosomal RNA (318 nucleotides) under Triticum aestivum (bread wheat). RNAcentral describes it as "partial small subunit ribosomal RNA". The record is from RNAcentral. Lineage: Eukaryota; Viridiplantae; Streptophyta; Magnoliopsida; Poales; Poaceae.